RNAcentral lists this long non-coding RNA (249 nucleotides) under Manihot esculenta (cassava). Its description in RNAcentral is "long non-coding RNA (MESC_LNC004524)". Lineage: Eukaryota; Viridiplantae; Streptophyta; Magnoliopsida; Malpighiales; Euphorbiaceae. The record is from RNAcentral.
GUUGGAGGAAACUGCCGAGAUGCCGAAUUGAAAGUCAAUUGUCUCUGGCCGCUUAAAGCUCUUUAAAUAGAGCUGGAAAGACGCUCUAAAUGCUGUCCACGCGUGUUGAUGGCCCACGUGCGAGAGUUGAGGCGUGAAUGGGCCGUCCGUGGGAAUGUGCGUUAGCUUGGCUUGGUCCUUGUGAAGGGAUAGUGGAGUCCAUGUGCAAGAACGAAGCGGGCCCAGGCUGGAUGAAUGUGCAUGAAUUUG